GUUUCUAGAGAGAGAGAGAAGGAGAAAAAUGAGAGGAAGGGGUGUACUUGGUUGUGAACAAGAGAGAUGCGGGUGUGGGGUUUUUAUAAGUUGCCACAAUUGCAUUUAGGCCCUCCAAUAAUUUUUAUUUGCAGCAUACUGCAUCCUGCUGUUCGCAGUGCAAGGUAUCGGUACGCGGGAUGGCAUCACCGGUACGCCGCUUCGCACAGGCCCAAACCCGAGAGCUGCUGUUCUCGGGUUGCUGCGGGGUACCGGUACUAACCAGGGGUGUCACCAGUAC
Molecule: long non-coding RNA, 280 nt
Filed under: Ananas comosus (pineapple)
Lineage: Eukaryota; Viridiplantae; Streptophyta; Magnoliopsida; Poales; Bromeliaceae
Description: long non-coding RNA (ACOM_LNC034625)
Source: RNAcentral